Molecule: ribosomal RNA, 505 nt
Filed under: uncultured bacterium
Lineage: Bacteria
Description: partial 16S ribosomal RNA
Rfam family: Bacterial small subunit ribosomal RNA
Source: RNAcentral
GACGAACGCUGGCGGCGUGCCUAAUACAUGCAAGUAGAACGCACAGUUUAUACCGUAGCUUGCUACACCAUAGACUGUGAGUUGCGAACGGGUGAGUAACGCGUAGGUAACCUGCCUGGUAGCGGGGAAUAACUAUUGGAAACGAUAGCUAAUACCGCAUAAUAUUAAUUAUUGCAUGAUAAUUAAUUGAAAGGUGCAAUUGCACCACUACCAGAUGGACCUGCGUUGUAUUAGCUAGUAGGUGAGGUAACGGCUCACCUAGGCGACGAUACAUAGCCGACCUGAGAGGGUGAUCGGCCACACUGGGACUGAGACACGGCCCAGACUCCUACGGGAGGCAGCAGUAGGGAAUCUUCGGCAAUGGACGAAAGUCUGACCGAGCAACGCCGCGUGAGUGAAGAAGGUUUUCGGAUCGUAAAGCUCUGUUGUAAGAGAAGAACGGGUGUGAGAGUGGAAAGUUCACACUGUGACGGUAUCUUACCAGAAAGGGACGGCUAACUACGUG